RNAcentral lists this long non-coding RNA (525 nucleotides) under Androctonus crassicauda. The record is from RNAcentral. Lineage: Eukaryota; Metazoa; Arthropoda; Arachnida; Scorpiones; Buthidae.
UGUUUAAAAAAAUGAAUGUGCAAAAAAUUAGAUGGGAAAAAAAUAAAAUUACCUCCCAGUGCCCCGCUUACUAUGAGUGACUGCCAGUGUUCUGAAAAGCCAAGAGCAGUACAACCUUUGUACAUAGGUGCAUUGUUGGAAAUGAUGAUGGAACUGGGGGCAAUGUAUCUGUAUACAUGCUCCCACAAGACUCUGCGAGUCUUGUUUGGCACCUGGAAUAAAAAAUUUAUCGAUCAUUCACAUGAAAAGAUACAAAAUACAAUAAAACGGAAAUACAUACAUGCCAGUACAUGCUCUCUUUAGUUUCACAAUAUUUAACACCAAAGAUGGUAAUUGUGUAGCUGGAUGUUUGUUGGCCAUCAUUGUACUUUCGUCUCCCUUAAUGUUUCAUCGAACUGAAGUUGGGAAGAAAAUGCAUAAAAAUACACAAAAUGAUCAUAAUAGGAUAAAAAGUAGAUACAAACUUCUACAUGGAGCCCAGGACCUCCAAUCUGUAGAGGCAUAUGGGAGACUGCAAGCUCUGCC